Molecule: small RNA, 29 nt
Filed under: Bombyx mori (domestic silkworm)
Lineage: Eukaryota; Metazoa; Arthropoda; Insecta; Lepidoptera; Bombycidae
Description: piRNA piR-bmo-1651490
Source: RNAcentral
AACCUAGUCAGUAUGUUCGGAUUGCCGUC